ACUACGGAAGGGCUGUAUUUAUUGGAUACCAAAACCAUCCUUCCCUCGGGAAGUUUUGUUUGAUGAUUCACAAUAACUGAUCGGAUCGCCACUGUGGUGGCGACAGGUCAUUCAACAUUCUGCCCUAUCAGCUUUCGAUGGUUGUGUAGUGGACAACCAUGGCCAUAACGGGUAACGGAGAAUCAGGGUUCGAUUCCGGAGAAGGAGCUUGAGAAUUGGCUACUACAUCUAAGGAAGGCAGCAGGCGCGCAAAUUACCCAAUCCCGAUUCGGGGAGGUAGUGACAAAAAAUAACAAUACCGGGCCUUUUUGGGCUUGGUAAUUGGAAUGAGGGAGAGUUAAACGGACCAUCGAGUAUCCAUUGGAGGGCAAGUCUGGUGCCAGCAGCUGCGGUAAUACCAGCUCCAAUAGCGUAUAUUAAAGUUGUUGCAGUUAAAAAGCUCGUAGUUGGACUUGUGUGCGCUGUCCGCGGGUGGCCUGCGCCCAAGAGGGCGUUUCGGUUCGGCCCCGGUGGCGCCUUGAAAUCUGCAGCUGGGGGGACGUUGGCCUUAACUGGUCGGCGACCGCACGCCGGCUGCUCGGUUACUGUGAGAAAAUUAGAGUGUUCAAGGCAGGCAUUGGGUGCAAUUGAAUACAUUAGCAUGGAAUAAUAAAAUAUGGCUCCUGCCGUAUUUUGUUGGUUUUGACUGGUGGGAGUAAUGAUUGAUAGGGACGGUUGGGGGUGCUAGUAUUGAGCGGCCAGAGGUGAAAUUCAUGGAUUCGCUCAAGACUAACUUAUGCGAAAGCAUUCACCAAGGACGUCCUCUUUAAUCAAGAACGAAAGUUGGGGGAUCGAAGACGAUCAGAUACCGUCGUAGUCUCAACCAUAAACUAUGUCGACUUGGGAUCGGCGGUAGUUUUUUCAUUAAGACACUGUCGGGACCACGGGAGAAAUCAAAGUGUCUGGACUCUGGGGGAAGUAUGGUCGCAAGGCUGAAACUUGAAGGAAUUGACGGAAGGGCACCACCAGGAGUGGAGCCUGCGGCUUAAUUUGACCCAACACGGGGAAACUUACCAGGUCCAGAGAUGUAGAGGAUUGACAGAUUGAAGCUCUUUCUUGAUCACUUCGGUGGUGGUGCAUGGCCGUUCUUAGUUGGUGGAGUGAUUUGUCUGGUUAAUUCCGUUAACGAACGAGACCUCAGCCUGCUAGUGUAGUCGGCUGGAU
RNAcentral lists this ribosomal RNA (1203 nucleotides) under metagenome. RNAcentral's name for it is "SSU rRNA". It matches the Rfam family "Eukaryotic small subunit ribosomal RNA", at positions 189 to 1368 of the family's 1831-position model. The record is from RNAcentral.